Molecule: ribosomal RNA, 253 nt
Filed under: uncultured bacterium
Lineage: Bacteria
Description: partial 16S ribosomal RNA
Rfam family: Bacterial small subunit ribosomal RNA
Source: RNAcentral
UACAGAGGGUGCGAGCGUUGUUCGGAAUUAUUGGGCGUAAAGGGCGCGUAGGCGGUGCGGUAAGUCACCUGUGAAAUCUCCUGGCUCAACUGGGAGCUUGCAGGCGAAACUGCCGUGCUGGAGUGUGGGAGAGGUGCGUGGAAUUCCUGGUGUAGCGGUGAAAUGCGUAGAUAUCUGGAGGAACACCGGUGGCGAAGGCGGCAUCCUGGACCGAUACUGACGCUGAGGAGCGAAAGCCAGGGGAGCAAACGGG